This 253-nucleotide ribosomal RNA is filed under the name uncultured bacterium. Its description in RNAcentral is "partial 16S ribosomal RNA". It matches the Rfam family "Bacterial small subunit ribosomal RNA", at positions 524 to 776 of the family's 1533-position model. The record is from RNAcentral.
UACGAAGGGGGCUAGCGUUGUUCGGAAUUACUGGGCGUAAAGGGCGCGUAGGCGGUCUGCUAAGCGUGCGGUGAAAGCCUGGGGCUCAACCCCGGAACUGCAUUGGAUACUGCCUUGCUAGAGUACUGGAGAGGGAACUGGAAUUUACGGUGUAGCAGUGAAAUGCGUAGAGAUCGUAAGGAAGGCCAGUGGCGAAGGCGAGUUCCUGGACAGUUACUGACGCUGAGGCACGAAGGCCAGGGGAGCAAACGGG